Molecule: ribosomal RNA, 243 nt
Filed under: uncultured bacterium
Lineage: Bacteria
Description: partial 16S ribosomal RNA
Rfam family: Bacterial small subunit ribosomal RNA
Source: RNAcentral
UGGCGACCGGCGCACGGUGAGUAACGCGUAUGCAACUUACCUAUCAGAGGGGGAUAGCCCGGCGAAGUCGGAUUAAUACCCCAUAAACAGGGGUCCCGCAUGGGAAUAUUUGUUAAAGAUUCAUCGCUGAUAGAUAGGCAUGCGUUCCAUUAGGCAGUUGGCGGGGUAACGGCCCACCAAACCGACGAUGGAUAGGGGUUCUGAGAGGAAGGUCCCCCACAUUGGUACUGAGACACGGACCAA